Molecule: long non-coding RNA, 2334 nt
Organism: Eubalaena glacialis (North Atlantic right whale)
Lineage: Eukaryota; Metazoa; Chordata; Mammalia; Artiodactyla; Balaenidae
Exons: 3
Source: RefSeq, a predicted model, not a curated record
AGAAUGCCUCCUGAGUCGGGCACUGUUCUAGGGCUGCAGGCGUGAAACCAGGCGGAAGUCUCUGCCCUCGUGAAGCCUGCCUCAAAUGAGUUGUCAAGCAAGUGCCAGGGCAGAAAGCACAGAGAGCGCCCACCUCCUGUCAGAGAGCCGAGGCGAACGACAGGACCAGAUUUCUGUUUGAAGAUGGUCAUCACCGUGUACACCCACGUUCAGCAUUCUCAGCCCUGAAGGGGGAAGAAACGUCCCAUCCCUCAGAAUCUGUGCGGUCUGGUACAUGAAUCGACUGUCACCUAGUCUGUGAAGUAUAGUAGCCUAUUUUCAUUUUACAUCUUGCAGAGCUGUUAUCACAUUACUACCUUUUUGAUUGAAAUGUCCACAAUGAAGUACUCUACAAUGGAGUUUCUACAAAUGACGGAUAAAUUAAUUAACGACAACUCUGUGCAUAACUAUGAAUACAGUCCCCAUUUUAAAGGUGAGAAACUGAGCCCCAGGAAGGCUUUGUAACUUGACCAGAGUCACAUGUUUGUGAGUAGCAAAACCAAGCAGGACCCUGCGGGGCUCCUGGUCUCGGAAGCCUUUCGGUCCCCCAUUUCUUGUUUGUAGGCAGCAGGCUCCAGCGUCCAUGGGCUUCCCAUGGAGCUUCAAACAGUUGCUAAUCAGGGAAGGGAGGGGAUGCAGAGGCAAGGGAAGAGCAGUCAGGCAACAAUGGUGCAGCCUUGGGGCAGGGUCCCGGUUCCCCCUCCAGGGAUGCACAGAACAAUGUCUUUGAGUUGUUUACAGAACUAAACCCCCAUCAAAUGGAAGAUGAAGCAUUCUUCAUUCCGGAAGACAGGAAGCACAGAAGCUCAUCAGGAGACCUCCUGAGGCCAGAUGAAAGGAGCACAGGCCCUGCUCACACCCUGAUCCUUAUCGGCAACCCCGCCCUGGAACCAUUGCUAUAAAACUCCUCACCAAAUCCUCCUGGUUGGGACACACAGUUUUCAAAGGCCGGAGCCUGCUGUGUCCCCCUUUGCCUGGAAAAGUAAUAAAGCUCUUCUUUUCUACGUCACGCAGCUGUGUCUCUGAGAUUCCAUUCAGCACCGGUGCACAGAGGUGGAGUUUUCUGCAUCAGGAUUGAAGCCAGAAUUGGAAUGCGGGUACUUGGUUCCGGUGCUGGCACUUUAAACCAUCACGUUUUCAUUCCUCCACGAGUGUCUCCAAAAAGACAUCUCAGACUUACGAAAUGUACAUUUAUAUUAAGCACUUGGUGUUUAUUUUAUGACUCUACACCGUUUUAGUCAUAAAUAUGUAACUUAAAAAUUCUACUGCCAACAACAAACAUACAUCAUUUUGAUUCUGGUCUCACAUCAAAAGGACAGUGCCCCAAGCCUACAGGAACUAGGCACUCAGUCAAUGAAACCAUCACGGUGUCUUAGAUGGAAUACCCUUUUUAGUGGCUAUAGAAAUGUGAAAUGAAUCUCCUGAAACCAUCCAAAGGGAAAAGGGUCUGUUGCCCUGAUUCUUAGCGAGAAGACUUUGCCAUAAAAUUGCCUUUUCUGUGUUCCUGGGUCUGACGACCUGUGAUGAAGGAAAAGCAUGAUUUGUAUUCACAUCAGUUUCUGAAGGACAGAAGUAGGAAAAAGCAAAGGCAGUGAGGUGACUAACUUGUUUCUGGGGAAAGGUGAACGUUCUAAGUAGGAGACAGAGUUUCUGUUACCGCUAACCUUGAGAUCAUCAUGGACUUGACCAAGACGGCAAUCUGUCGGGAGCUUCGAUGCAUGCAUGCUGCUGGACCCAAGAAGCUACAAGCACUUAACUCUGCGUGUGUGCACUUCCAUGUUGAACACAUCCUUUAAUAGCUGGUGAGUGAAAUAAACAAAAGUAUGACGUAGCCAAAUGCAGUUACACCCAUGAUAAAUCUUCGUGGAAGAAAAAUGAAUGAGGCGCAGCUUCUUCUGACACAGUGGCGGAGACCGGACCGUGUGGAGUUCAUUUUCGUGCUUGGCUGUCAGUCAGAGUUGGGGAGCUUGUAAACGGAAGAGCUGAAUUAUGGAAAACAAGAGUCAAAGUGUACAAAUCUCUAGGCUCACACCUAAGUGAAAAUUAUUCAUGUAAUUUUAUUUAUUUGAUGAGCUGAAAGAAGACCAGGUGAGCACGUUCCAAAAUGGAAGCAAUGCAGAAUCUGUCUUUGCAGAAGUCCUACGGUAAUACUCAUUCCAAUAUUACAAGGUUAUUUCUAAAGCCUGGCAAACAGCCCAAUUCGUAUUGCCUGAAUGGUUUAAAUAGAGUUUUGAGAGAAAAAUCUUAUGUAACAGAUGGUUCACAAGACUCUAAUAGCCAAUCUGUUAUAGCCAA